This is a long non-coding RNA of Brienomyrus brachyistius, 2212 nucleotides long. RefSeq lists it as uncharacterized. NCBI's taxonomy places the organism in Eukaryota, Metazoa, Chordata, Actinopteri, Osteoglossiformes, Mormyridae. The record is from RefSeq and is a predicted model, not a curated record. The transcript has 4 exons.
GGAGCCAUCACCUUGCGUCAGUUGGUUGGUUCCUCUCACAUCAGACCGUCCCAGCCAGUUCUCGCCUGAGUGUCUACAGAGGCGCUUUACCAUAACCACAGGACCGGAAUGAACCUUCCAAAUGCUGCCGGCCUAACUUGAUGGACCGUCGAUGUAGGGAGCUGCGGCGACACUUCCCAACAGAGGUGACCGUUUCUAGGCCGUGCCCUGAAGUUCCACCAAAACAGUCCACGGGGCGGCGUCCAACAGGGUCCCGAGUGCCUCCCGAGUGCCACCCACCUGCCACGUUGACCUUGUCAGCAUUGCCUGUGCUGGAAGCUGUGGCCCCGGUGGCCGUCCCAUUGCAUUCCCCCCGCUGCGGAGAGCGCGGGAAUGGCUCGAAUAUCACAUUAUCAUUCCGAAGACCCGAAAUGAACCACGGGGGAGCAUGGGAGAUUCCCCCUGCCAAGCCAUUGUUCAUCCAAAAGACCCUCAUUGUUUGUUUGUAUCCUGUACUGCUUAAAGACUUCCAAAAGAACAGUGUACAAAGCAAACACCGUGUCCAGUGACAACUACAGCUCACUUCGUCUCCUCGGGACUAGAGUCCGGCUGGGGGCUGCCAAUCUAGGAAAGAUCACACUGCCAGAAAAAAGACAGGAUAGGGGGCACUGCCGUGCAGCGACUAAGCCUAACGCUGGGAGCAGAGCAGCAGGAGGACAUCCCCAGGGGCUCCCCACAGGCAGCUGUGACAGAUACAUAAGGAGAAGAGCACGAAGCACCUCCUGCUCACAGCUCACCUAACAAAAGCACGACCAGCGCCACACAAACCAGGCACGUGCAGGUAUGUGGGGAGCCUGUCAAACCCUGUGUUGCGAGAUGCACACCUUCCCACACUUCCUCCUCAUCAGACAUCUGCAGGCUGUCAUGCCAGGUACCAGCUGUCACACAGUGGGGACAGCCACCUCUAUCAGGGACCACUGUGUACUACACAGUGGUCCCCUCUUAACCUCAGUUUCUUUUUCUGUGGUCCGAAAAAUUAAAUGGAAAAUUCCAGAAACAACUCGUAAGUUUUAAAUUGUGUGCUGUUCUGAGUAGCGUGAUGAAACCCUGGGCCGUGCCGCCCGAGACUUGAACCACCCCUUCGUCGAGCAUAUUCAUGCUGUUUAUGCUACCUGCUCAUUAGUCACUCAGUAGCAGUCUCAGUUAUCAAAUCUACUGUUGCCUAUUACGCAAGCACACCCUCAAACUUGAUAACACGUGGCAUAGGACCAUGUCAUUAAAGAAGUGAAAACAGCCAAAAUCAUUCUUUUCUAAUGAUCUAAUUACAAACAAAUGGGUUCCACUCUGACAGACUGAAAUGUUUUUAAUACGUUUUUAACAUGGACAGCUGCGUGCCCAGUUGUACCAACCCACACACAGCAAAUACAAGCAGCAGACGUCACACUGUGAGGAAGUUUUUAUUUACAGCCUGUUCCUGCCAAACUUACUGAGCUGACAAAAAAAAGAAAAAGGAACCUUACCAUCAGCUUAUUGCAUGGCCGUAAAAUCAAUUAUGCUCAGCCUCACAACGAAGAUCCUCACACCAAAACAGCAUCAUGCAGGCACAGUAAACAGGCUGUAAUUCUAAAUAUAUUUUUUAACAUUGUCAAAUCUGUUGCAGUCUCCACACAACUAGACUGCCUCACAAACCCUGUGCUUCCACAUAAUAAAAUGGAUUUCAUUUCGUUGCCAGUUAGAUCUUGUCCGCAGAGAUCACGUCCACUCAAGAGAAAGGAAGAAUAAAGACCCUGCUAAGCACACAUGACCGAUGCAAAUUAACCUUAACAUCCCUGAACACUAAAGCCUGGUUCCUCCUUACUGCAAAGGCGGGCAUGCCACAGCACACAUGCUGAAAUGUCUGCAUUCCUGAAUGUUCAUACUUGUGCCAACGUGCUAGACAACUGCACCGGGGUAGCACUACAGAGCAAAGUUGCUUGUUUAUGAAGUGUGGUAUGGGUGCAAUAAUAAAAAGAAUCAUUUUACUAAAACUAUUGGUGCAUUAUGUACUUAAAAAGUAAACAGGGACAUAAACAGGUAAAUGGUGCUACAGUUACAAAUUCAUUUCAUUUUAAUUUGCAGCCCUCUGGGAGUCUUUAUAAUUUCAUGGCAAGGAAUCAAAUAAAUGCCUGUAUUUCUGGACAUCCUCAGCCAACCUUUCUUAGAAUCCGCAAGCCAUAUUUGUUAUCAGUCUGAU